CGUAGGGUGCGAGCGUUAAUCGGAAUUACUGGGCGUAAAGCGUGCGCAGGCGGUUCGUUAAGUUCGUUGUGAAAGCCCCGGGCUCAACCUGGGAACGGCAAUGGAAACUGGCGGGCUUGAAUGCGGCAGAGGGGGGUGGAAUUCCGCGUGUAGCAGUGAAAUGCGUAGAGAUGCGGAGGAACACCGAUGGCGAAGGCAGCCCCCUGGGCCGACAUUGACGCUCAGGCACGAAAGCGUGGGGGAGCAAACAGGAUUAGAUACCCUGGUAGUCCACGCCCUAAACGAUGCUCACUAGGUGUUGGGGAAGCGAUUCCUUGGUACCGUAGCUAACGCGUGAAGUGAGCCGCCUGGGGAGUACGGCCGCAAGGUUA
This 371-nucleotide ribosomal RNA is filed under the name uncultured organism. Its description in RNAcentral is "bacterial SSU rRNA". It matches the Rfam family "Bacterial small subunit ribosomal RNA", at positions 526 to 896 of the family's 1533-position model. The record is from RNAcentral.